AUUGAACGCUGGCGGCAGGCCUAACACAUGCAAGUCGAGCGAGCGGCGGACGGGUGAGUAAUGUCUGGGAAACUGCCUGAUGGAGGGGGAUAACUACUGGAAACGGUAGCUAAUACCGCAUACCAUCAGAUUUGCCCAGCUGGGAUUAGCUAGUAGGUGGGGUAACGGCUCACCUAGGCGACGAUCCCUAGCUGGUCUGAGAGGAUGACCAGCAACACGGGAACGGAGACACGGUCCAGACUCCUACGGGAGGCAGCAGUGGGGAAUAUUGCACAAUGGGCGCAAGCCUGAUGCAGCCAGGCCGCGUGUGUGAAGAAGGCCUUCGGGUUGUAAAGCACGUUCAGCGGGGAGGCGUUACCCGCAGAAGAAGCACCGGCUAACUCCGUGCCAGCCGCCGCGGUAAUAC
RNAcentral lists this ribosomal RNA (406 nucleotides) under uncultured bacterium. RNAcentral describes it as "partial 16S ribosomal RNA". It matches the Rfam family "Bacterial small subunit ribosomal RNA", at positions 29 to 526 of the family's 1533-position model. The record is from RNAcentral.